UACGUAGGGUCCGAGCGUUGUCCGGAAUUACUGGGCGUAAAGAGCUCGUAGGUGGUUUGUCGCGUUGUUCGUGAAAACUCACAGCUCAACUGUGGGCGUGCGGGCGAUACGGGCAGACUGGAGUACUGCAGGGGAGACUGGAAUUCCUGGUGUAGCGGUGGAAUGCGCAGAUAUCAGGAGGAACACCGGUGGCGAAGGCGGGUCUCUGGGCCGUAACUGACGCUGAGGGGCGAAAGCGUGGGGAGCGAACAGG
RNAcentral lists this ribosomal RNA (253 nucleotides) under uncultured bacterium. Its description in RNAcentral is "partial 16S ribosomal RNA". It matches the Rfam family "Bacterial small subunit ribosomal RNA", at positions 524 to 776 of the family's 1533-position model. The record is from RNAcentral.